AGAGGAAAAAAACACCAUAUCAAUUCUCUUUGAUUUAAAUGUGCCAAUGUAUAACGCAAUUUAAUUAUUGGAACAAAAAUUAACUUUUUUUUAUUAAAAAUGUAAUUCAGCGAAAGCAUGACGCAUUAAAUCCUCUAUUUUGCGUGCGUUUAGUACCUAUUAUAUAUAUGUAUAGGUAAAUGAAAUCAUUAUUACGUAAAUCAUAGCCUACUAAUUAAUUAUUUAUUUUCAAUUAAUGUACCGAGGACUUAUAUAUAGAAAGUUCCUUCAUAAUAAAAAAUAUUUGAAUCUCGGUCUCUUUGUUCUUUAAAAUUAUUUAUAUUUUAUUAUUUAUUUCAAUUCUUUAUUAAUUUUUUUGUCAUAGUUUUUCCUUUAACAUUUUGUCGCGGGAAAGGUUUUUAAGGGGGGAACACCAGUUGUAACUUUCGAAAUAUCGAUUUUUUUUUUGGUGCAUUUUCUUAAAGUAUACAUAUUUAGAAAUGUGUCUGUAAAUUUCAAAGUUGAUCCGGUGAAAAAUAAAUGAGAUAUACAGAACACUGCAGCGGCGCGUCCCGUGGCUUCAUACAAGGUGGCCAGCCAUACCUGACCCUAACGACAGAUGGCCUUUUCCUAUGAUUUAGAAACGGCAACCACUGCGGAAGAGUUAUUAUAUGGUCCAGGAAUCGAUGACUCUUUGUAACUUAGAAACAAAAUUUCUUCUGAACAAAAAAAAACGAAGUAUACUUGCAGAAUGCUGGUCACCGCAAUUCGCCUUUUUUCUUAAGACGCCACUUCAAUGGCUCAUAUCUCCAAAAGUUUUUGUUAAAAAAAUUUUUUUUUUCUUUUAAAUUACAGCUUUUUACAUGUACUUUUAACUAAUAAAUAGUAUUCUUUAAAAA
This is a long non-coding RNA of Leptopilina boulardi, 878 nucleotides long. RefSeq lists it as uncharacterized. NCBI's taxonomy places the organism in Eukaryota, Metazoa, Arthropoda, Insecta, Hymenoptera, Figitidae. The transcript has 2 exons. The record is from RefSeq and is a predicted model, not a curated record.